CACCAGAUGGUGCUCCAGCUACCCGUGAAUGGCCUACUCUCCCUGCUCAUGCCUUCUCAUCCCUCUACUCUCUUUCGCCUCCGCCGUCGGCUUUGGCUUCCCAGACAUCUUCCCAGACCUAGCUCAGUUUUCUCUGAGUUGCCAGGGCAGUCAUGUGAUGUACCGUGCACCUUCCAGCUGCUGGUGAAGAAGUCCCAAGGUGGAACUGAGAAGGUAAGGCCUCAUCUCUGA
This 231-nucleotide long non-coding RNA is filed under the name Phascolarctos cinereus (koala). RNAcentral's name for it is "lncRNA (ENSPCIG00000034266.1)". Lineage: Eukaryota; Metazoa; Chordata; Mammalia; Diprotodontia; Phascolarctidae. The record is from RNAcentral.